GACGAACGCUGGCGGCGUGCUUAACACAUGCAAGUCGAACGGGCCCGCCCCUGUUUUUGGGGGUGGGUUGAGUGGCGAACGGGUGAGUAUCACGUGAGUAACCUGCCCCCUGCUCCUGGAUAACUGCUUGAAAGGGCGGCUAAUACGGGGUGUGCCGGCUGGUCCGCAUUGGCCUGGUCGGGAUAGUUUCAUCUUCGGGUGUUUCGGUGGGGGAUGGGCUCGCGGCCUAUCAGCUUGUUGGUGGGGUGAUGGCCCACCAAGGCGGUGACGGGUAGCCGGCGUGAGAGGGUGGGCGCCCACACGGGGACUGAGACACGGCCCAGACUCCUGCGGGAGGCAGCAGUGGGGGGUAUUGCACGAUGGGCGGAAGCCUGAUGCAGCGACGUCGCGUGAGGGAUGGAGGCCUUCGGGUUGUGAACCUCUUUCUCCGGUGGUGAAGGCCCUGUCCGUUGCGGCGGGGUUGACGGUAGCCGGGUAUGAAGCGCCGGCUAACUACGUG
RNAcentral lists this ribosomal RNA (499 nucleotides) under uncultured bacterium. RNAcentral describes it as "partial 16S ribosomal RNA". It matches the Rfam family "Bacterial small subunit ribosomal RNA", at positions 28 to 507 of the family's 1533-position model. The record is from RNAcentral.